GACAGUAGCAAUAUUGUCUUAGUGGCGAACGGGUGAGUAACGCGUUGGUGACCUGCCUCGAAGAGAGGGAUAACAGUUCGAAAGGAUUGCUAAUACCUCAUGUGGUUGCUUGGGUUAGAGACCUUGCAACUAAACGGAUUUAUUCGCUUCGAGAGGGGCCUGCGUCCCAUCAGCUAGUUGGUAGGGUAAUGGCCUACCAAGGCGAUGACGGGUAGGGGACCUGAGAGGGUGGCCCCCCACAAUGGAACUGAAACACGGUCCAUACACCUACGGGUGGCAGCAGUAGGGAAUAUUGGUUAAUCUGGGAAACCGGGAACCAGCAACGCCGCGUGCGCGAUGAAGGCCUUCGGGUUGUAAAGCGCUUUUAGAGAGGAUGAGGAAGGACAGUACUCUCUGAAUAAGCCUCGGCUAACUACGUGCCAGCAGCCGCGGUAAAACGUAGGAGGCGAGCGUUAUCCGGAUUUACUGGGCGUAAAGCGCGUGUAGGCGGUUUGAUAAGUUGGAUGUGAAAGCUCCUGGCUUAACUGGGAGAGGUCGUUCAAAACUGUCAGACUUGAGAGUGGUAGAGGGAGGUGGAAUUCCGGGUGUAGUGGUGAAAUGCGUAGAUAUCCGGAGGAACACCAGUGGCGAAAGCGGCCUCCUGGACCAUUUCUGACGCUCAGACGCGAAAGCUAGGGUAGCAAACGGGAUUAGAGACCCCGGUAGUCCUAGCUGUAAACGAUGUGAACUUGGCGUCGGUGGGUUCAAAUCCAUCGGUGCCGAAGCUAACGCGAUAAGUUCACCGCCUGGGGACUAC
RNAcentral lists this ribosomal RNA (796 nucleotides) under uncultured bacterium. RNAcentral's name for it is "bacterial SSU rRNA". It matches the Rfam family "Bacterial small subunit ribosomal RNA", at positions 72 to 883 of the family's 1533-position model. The record is from RNAcentral.